Molecule: ribosomal RNA, 490 nt
Filed under: uncultured bacterium
Lineage: Bacteria
Description: partial 16S ribosomal RNA
Rfam family: Bacterial small subunit ribosomal RNA
Source: RNAcentral
AUUGAACGCUGGUGGCAGGCUUAACACAUGCAAGUCGAACGGUAACAGGAAUUAGCUUGCUAGUUUGCUGACGAGUGGCGGACGGGUGAGUAAUGCUUGGGCAUCUGGCUUAUGGAGGGGGAUAACUACGGGGAACUGUAGCUAAUACCGCGUAAAAUCUGCGGAUUAAAGGGUGGGACUUUCGAGACACCUGCAAUAAGAUGAGCCGAAGUGGGAUUAGGUAGUUGGUUAGGUAAAGGCUGACCAAGCCGACGAUCUCUAGCUGGUCUGAGAGGAUGACCAGCCACACUGGAACUGAGACACGGUCCAGACUCCUACGGGAGGCAGCAGUGGGGAAUAUUGGACAAUGGGCGGAAGCCUGAUGCAGCCAUGCCGCGUGUAUGAAGAAGGCCUUCGGGUUGUAAAGUUCUUUCGGUGAGGAGGAAGGUCAAUAGGUUAAUAGCCUGCCAAAUUGACGUUACUCACAGAAGAAGCACCGGCUAACUCCGUG